This 73-nucleotide transfer RNA is filed under the name Stegodyphus mimosarum. It matches the Rfam family "tRNA". From Rfam's summary of the family: Transfer RNA (tRNA) molecules are approximately 80 nucleotides in length. Their secondary structure includes four short double-helical elements and three loops (D, anti-codon, and T loops). The record is from Rfam by way of RNAcentral. Lineage: Eukaryota; Metazoa; Arthropoda; Arachnida; Araneae; Eresidae.
GCCUUCGUGGUGUAGUGGUCAGCAUGCUCGACGCGUAACCGAGAGGUCCGUGGUUCGAUUCCCGGCGAAGGUC